Caenorhabditis elegans is the source of this 171-nucleotide non-coding RNA. The record is from Ensembl. NCBI's taxonomy places the organism in Eukaryota, Metazoa, Nematoda, Chromadorea, Rhabditida, Rhabditidae.
CCUGGAACCCUGGAACCCUGGAACCCUGGAACCCUGGAACCCUGGAACCCUGGAACCCUGGAACCCUGGAACCCUGGAACCCUGGAACCCUGGAACCCUGGAACCCUGGAACCCUGGAACCCUGGAACCCUGGAACCCUGGAACCCUGGAACCCUGGAACCCUGGAACCCU